Long non-coding RNA from Pongo pygmaeus (Bornean orangutan), 156 nucleotides. RefSeq lists it as uncharacterized. Lineage: Eukaryota; Metazoa; Chordata; Mammalia; Primates; Hominidae. The transcript has 3 exons. The record is from RefSeq and is a predicted model, not a curated record.
CAGGCUACGUGGCCAAGGCAAGAUCUACUAAACAUGUACAUAUUUUAUGACCCAACAAUUCUAAUCCUGUGGCUACAUACGAUCCAGGUUAAAAGAACCCUAAAGAACAUUGGCCAUGUGCUUGACAUCCUCUAUGACAUCCAUGUGACGUGACGC